RNAcentral lists this transfer RNA (73 nucleotides) under Cyrtodactylus auribalteatus (Golden-belted bent-toed gecko). Its description in RNAcentral is "tRNA Gln". It matches the Rfam family "tRNA". Rfam says of the family: Transfer RNA (tRNA) molecules are approximately 80 nucleotides in length. Lineage: Eukaryota; Metazoa; Chordata; Lepidosauria; Squamata; Gekkonidae. The record is from RNAcentral.
UAGGCGGUAGUAUAAUGUGGUAGUACGUGAGGUUUUGGGCCUUGUGGUGCGGGUUCGUGGCCCGUUUGCCUAG